UGGGGAAUAUUGCGCAAUGGGCGAAAGCCUGACGCAGCAACGCCGCGUGAGUGAUGAAGGCCUUCGGGUCGUAAAGCUCUGUCGGAGGGAACGAAUGCUCCUGAAGUUAACAGCCUCAGGAGGUGACGGUACCCUCAAAGGAAGCACCGGCUAACUCUGUGCCAGCAGCCGCGGUAAUACAGAGGGUGCAAGCGUUGUUCGGAAUCAUUGGGCGUAAAGGGCGUGUAGGCGGUAUGUUAAGACAGAUGUGAAAUCCCCGGGCUUAACCUGGGAACUGCGUUUGUAACUGGCAAGCUAGAGUGUGGCAGAGGGGGGUGGAAUUCCAAGUGUAGCAGUGAAAUGCGUAGAUAUUUGGAGGAACACCAAUGGCGAAGGCAGCCCCCUGGGUCAACACUGACGCUCAUGCACGAAAGCGUGGGGAGCAAACAGGAUUAGAUACCCAAGUAGUCCCUGAGCGGGCUGGCAAGGCGCAU
RNAcentral lists this ribosomal RNA (473 nucleotides) under uncultured bacterium. RNAcentral's name for it is "bacterial SSU rRNA". It matches the Rfam family "Bacterial small subunit ribosomal RNA", at positions 355 to 825 of the family's 1533-position model. The record is from RNAcentral.